AAUGAACGCUGGCGGCAGGCCUAACACAUGCAAGUCGAACGGAUCCUUCGGGAUUAGUGGCGGACGGGUGAGUAACGCGUGGGAACAUACCCUUUGGUACGGAAUAGCCUCGGGAAACUGGGAGUAAUACCGUAUGUGGUCGAGAGACGAAAGAUUUAUCGCCAAAGGAUUGGCCCGCGUUGGAUUAGGUAGUUGGUGGGGUAAUGGCCUACCAAGCCGACGAUCCAUAGCUGGUUUGAGAGGAUGACCAGCCACACUGGGACUGAGACACGGCCCAGACACCUACGGGAGGCAGCAGUGGGGAAUCUUAGACAAUGGGGGAAACCCUGAUCUAGCCAUGCCGCGUGAUCGAUGAAGGCCUUAGGGUUGUAAAGAUCUUUCAGGUGGGAAGAUAAUGACUGUACCACCAGAAGAAGCCCCGGCUAACUCCGUGCCAGCCGCCGCGGUAA
RNAcentral lists this ribosomal RNA (449 nucleotides) under uncultured bacterium. Its description in RNAcentral is "partial 16S ribosomal RNA". It matches the Rfam family "Bacterial small subunit ribosomal RNA", at positions 29 to 523 of the family's 1533-position model. The record is from RNAcentral.